RNAcentral lists this ribosomal RNA (394 nucleotides) under uncultured bacterium. RNAcentral's name for it is "partial 16S ribosomal RNA". It matches the Rfam family "Bacterial small subunit ribosomal RNA", at positions 338 to 729 of the family's 1533-position model. The record is from RNAcentral.
CCUACGGGUGGCUGCAGUGAGGAAUAUUGGUCAAUGGACGAAAGUCUGAACCAGCCAAGUAGCGUGAAGGAUGAAUGCUCUAUGGGUUGUAAACUUCUUUUAUAUGGGAAUAAAAUGUUCCACGUGUGGGAUUUUGUAUGUACCUUAUGAAUAAGGAUCGGCUAACUCCGUGCCAGCAGCCGCGGUAAUACGGAGGAUCCGAGCGUUAUCCGGAUUUAUUGGGUUUAAAGGGAGCGUAGGUGGAGUUUUAAGUCAGUUGUGAAAGUUUGCGGCUCAACCGUAAAAUUGCCGUUGAAACUGGGAGGCUUGAGUACAGUUGAGGUAGGCGGAAUGCGUGGUGUAGCGGUGAAAUGCUUAGAUAUCACGAAGAACUCCGAUUGCGAAGGCAGUUCAC